RNAcentral lists this long non-coding RNA (527 nucleotides) under Mytilus galloprovincialis (Mediterranean mussel). The record is from RNAcentral. Lineage: Eukaryota; Metazoa; Mollusca; Bivalvia; Mytilida; Mytilidae.
ACGUGUAUGUUCCUAUGUGUUAUUAUUCUAUUUCCAUCCUCUUUCGUCAUUCAUGUACAAUCCAAGACUUAUCGCCGAUAUUGUACUUUUAUGAGCCACACAGCGUCACUGGCAAUAACCACGUGCUCUAUCGGGUGACAUGAGAUUUUUCCAAUUUUUUAGAAGUUCGGGUUGCUCAAAUAUUUGAUUAUCGUUAUUUAUUCUUUCCUUUUCUUUUUACGUUAUGGCAUGCUGUUGUUUGUUCCCCUUGCAUAUAUGUGUUUUGUCUACUUCACAUUAUUCAUCACCACAAGACGAAAAUUAUUACAUAUGCUGCCAGCCUACGUUAGACAACUAAACGUGUAUGCAUCGAAUUUCAAUGAAAAAAACAACUACGACUAAAUGCAACUACUCAGGGUUAGCCAUAAUGAGGUUUUAUUGUGGAAGAUUGGAGUGGAUUUCUUACAAGUCGAAUGUGCAUAUCCACGAUGUAUACCAAAGAUGACAAAACUUAUAAAAAAUACAAGGUUUAUACUUUUGUAUGUCAG